CCCUCCCCUUCCAAAUAACUUUUGAACCCUUUGGUCAGUUUUGGCCCUGUUGGAUUGGGAGUUCCCACUGCAGGAAGUUAAUUGAGAUGAGCAGUUGGUAAGAGGAGAGAGUCGCCAUGAACAUCCCUCUGAAGAGGAGUCUGUGGCUUGGCACCGGGGAAUUCACAGGGAAAAGAGACGCGAAUGCUCCAGCAUUUCUGUGGGGUCUACUGAAUUGUUUUGCCUGAACUGUGUAAGUGGCUUGAUUUAUUACUGAGCUACGAAGAGCAGCAGGAAACAUCCACUACUUGUAUAUACCAGCCCGAAUUUACUUGCUUUAUGCUUCUAGUGUGCACGGUAAACUUCUGACAGUCUGCCCCAGAAUUUUAUUAGUCGAUCUGGAAGAAGUCUGCCUUUGCAAGACCCCGUCUGUGCAGGUUCCCUGGGCGCUGAAUGCGACCUUCACCAGGUCAGACUGCUUCAGACCUGCCUCGUGGAUGUACUGGCGCUGCACAAUGUCCAACUGCAAAACAAGGCCAACAUUAAACUUCAAAAUUCAAGUGCAGCUGUAAGAGAUAGAUACCAUCCAUAAAGCCAUGGAGAAAGGAUGUUCUGAAAGCACUAAUUAGACCUGACUGGGCUGUGACAUAAAAAAAAAAAAAAAACAACACAACCAACAUGUGGGGAAAGCAUCAUUAGGGCAU
This is a long non-coding RNA of Lepidothrix coronata (blue-crowned manakin), 683 nucleotides long. RefSeq lists it as uncharacterized. Lineage: Eukaryota; Metazoa; Chordata; Aves; Passeriformes; Pipridae. The transcript has 4 exons. The record is from RefSeq and is a predicted model, not a curated record.